GCACUCGCUUUGGCAGCACAAGUAUUAAAAUUGGAAAGACACAGAGCAGGUCAGCAUGGCCCCUGCACAAGGGUGACAUGCAAAUUUAUGAAGCAUUCCAUAUUUUU
RNAcentral lists this small nuclear RNA (107 nucleotides) under Macaca nemestrina (pig-tailed macaque). Lineage: Eukaryota; Metazoa; Chordata; Mammalia; Primates; Cercopithecidae. The record is from RNAcentral.